AACGAACGCUGGCGGCAUGCCUAACACAUGCAAGUCGAACGAGACCUUCGGGUCUAGUGGCGCACGGGUGCGUAACGCGUGGGAACCUGCCCUUAGGUUCGGAAUAACUCCCCGAAAGGGGUGCUAAUACCGGAUAAUGUCUUCGGACCAAAGAUUUAUCGCCUUUGGAUGGGCCCGCGUUGGAUUAGCUAGUUGGUAGGGUAAAAUCCUACCAAGGCGACGAUCCAUAGCUGGUCUGAGAGGAUGAUCAGCCACACUGGGACUGAGACACGGCCCAGACUCCUACGGGAGGCAGCAGUGGGGAAUAUUGGACAAUGGGCGAAAGCCUGAUCCAGCAAUGCCGCGUGAGUGAUGAAGGCCUUAGGGUUGUAAAGCUCUUUUACCCGGGAUGAUAAUGACAGUACCGGGAGAAUAAGCUCCGGCUAACUCCGUG
RNAcentral lists this ribosomal RNA (433 nucleotides) under uncultured bacterium. Its description in RNAcentral is "partial 16S ribosomal RNA". It matches the Rfam family "Bacterial small subunit ribosomal RNA", at positions 29 to 507 of the family's 1533-position model. The record is from RNAcentral.